GAUGAACGCUGGCGGCGUGCCUAAUACAUGCAAGUCGAGCGAACAGACGAGGAGCUUGCUCCUCUGACGUUAGCGGCGGACGGGUGAGUAACACGUGGAUAACCUACCUAUAAGACUGGGAUAACUUCGGGAAACCGGAGCUAAUACCGGAUAACAUGUUGAACCGGAUGGUUCAACAGUGAAAGACGGUCUUGCUGUCACUUAUAGAUGGAUCCGCGCCGCAUUAGCUAGUUGGUAAGGUAACGGCUUACCAAGGCAACGAUGCGUAGCCGACCUGAGAGGGUGAUCGGCCACACUGGAACUGAGACACGGUCCAGACUCCUACGGGAGGCAGCAGUAGGGAAUCUUCCGCAAUGGGCGAAAGCCUGACGGAGCAACGCCGCGUGAGUGAAGAAGGUCUUCGGAUCGUAAAACUCUGUUAUUAGGGAAGAACAAAUGUGUAAGUAACUAUGCACGUCUUGACGGUACCUAAUCAGAAAGCCACGGCUAACUACGUG
This 497-nucleotide ribosomal RNA is filed under the name uncultured bacterium. RNAcentral describes it as "partial 16S ribosomal RNA". It matches the Rfam family "Bacterial small subunit ribosomal RNA", at positions 28 to 507 of the family's 1533-position model. The record is from RNAcentral.